GAUGUCUCCACUGCCCUAAGGGGUGUCUCCAACCAACGAUUCAAAUCAAACACCAGGAAAUAUAAAUAAUAGCCCAAGUGGUUCAUAUAAUAAAUGAGGGUCUUGCUAUGUAGCCCAGGCUGGCCUUGAACUCAUGGCAGUCCUCCUCCCUCAGCCUCACAAAUGCUGGGACUAGAGGCAUGUGCCACUAUGCCUGGCUCAGGACUUUAAACCAUGUGCACAUCACUUAAAAAACCAAACCAGCCAACCAAGCAAAGUUCUCAACUCUCUCCAUAAGAAGGUUGCUGCCCUCACUUUCUUGCAGCCUUGUGCUAAGGACCUUCCUGCUACAGAUGAGCCAGAUUUUCUUCUUCCUCCCAUGUUGCCACACAGCUCCAUGCCAGUCAACUGUCCUGUGAUAUUUCUGGAAAGGAGGAGACCUUUGCAUUUUAUAUCCCAUCCAGAACAGCAAGAUCUUUGCCUGGAAAAGACUGUUCAGUAGAGCUGAGGUUGCACUAAGCACACCCAGAA
Long non-coding RNA from Heterocephalus glaber (naked mole-rat), 510 nucleotides. The record is from Ensembl. NCBI's taxonomy places the organism in Eukaryota, Metazoa, Chordata, Mammalia, Rodentia, Bathyergidae.